AUGAACGCUGGCGGCGUGCCUAAUACAUGCAAGUCGAGCGAACGGACGAGAAGCUUGCUUCUCUGAUGUUAGCGGCGGACGGGUGAGUAACACGUGGAUAACCUACCUAUAAGACUGGGAUAACUUCGGGAAACCGGAGCUAAUACCGGAUGAUAUUUUGAACCGCAUGGUUCAAAAGUGAAAGACGGUCUUGCUGUCACUUAUAGAUGGAUCCGCGCUGCAUUAGCUAGUUGGUAAGGUAACGGCUUACCAAGGCAACGAUGCAUAGUCGACCUGAGAGGGUGAUCGGCCACACUGGAACUGAGACACGGUCCAGACUCCUACGGGAGGCAGCAGUAGGGAAUCUUCCGCAAUGGGCGAAAGCCUGACGGAGCAACGCCGCGUGAGUGAUGAAGGUCUUCGGAUCGUAAAACUCUGUUAUUAGGGAAGAACAUAUGUGUAAGUAACUGUGCACAUCUUGACGGUACCUAAUCAGAAAGCCACGGCUAACUACGUG
This 496-nucleotide ribosomal RNA is filed under the name uncultured bacterium. RNAcentral describes it as "partial 16S ribosomal RNA". It matches the Rfam family "Bacterial small subunit ribosomal RNA", at positions 29 to 507 of the family's 1533-position model. The record is from RNAcentral.